Long non-coding RNA from Archocentrus centrarchus (flier cichlid), 217 nucleotides. RefSeq lists it as uncharacterized. The record is from RefSeq and is a predicted model, not a curated record. NCBI's taxonomy places the organism in Eukaryota, Metazoa, Chordata, Actinopteri, Cichliformes, Cichlidae. The transcript is spliced from 3 exons.
UGAGCCACACAUUGUCUACUCUGAUGUGGGGAUUCAUACUUCAGGGCAGUCAGCUGAUGCCGGGUGUUGUGUAUUCAUCAGUGAGAGCAGGAAACUGAGGAUACACUCAGCCUGAUGGACGACCUUCAUGACACCAUGCUGAUCCAGUCUUCUUCGAAAUGCUUCUGAAUGUCUUAUUUUAGCUCUUACUGCAGGAUGUGUCAUUGUUAGCAGCUAC